RNAcentral lists this ribosomal RNA (380 nucleotides) under uncultured eukaryote. RNAcentral describes it as "partial 18S ribosomal RNA". It matches the Rfam family "Eukaryotic small subunit ribosomal RNA", at positions 592 to 976 of the family's 1831-position model. The record is from RNAcentral.
CAAUAGCGUAUAUUAAAGUUGUCGCAGUUAGAACGCUCGUAGUCGGAUUUCGGGGCGGGCCGACCGGUCUGCCGAUGGGUACGCACUGGUCGGCGCGUCCUUCCUUCCGGAGACCGUGCCUACUCUUAACUGAGCGGGGGCGGGAGACGGAACGUUUACUUUGAAAAAAUCAGAGUGUUUCAAGCAGGCAGUGCGCUCUUGCAUGGAUUAGCAUGGGAUAAUGAAAUAGGACUUUGGUGCUAUUUUGUUGGUUUCGAACACCGAAGUAAUGAUUAAAAGGGACAGUCAGGGGCACUCGUAUUCCGCCGAGAGAGGUGAAAUUCUCAGACCAGCGGAAGACGAACCACUGCGAAAGCAUUUGCCAGGGAUGUUUUCACUGA